RNAcentral lists this RNase P RNA (344 nucleotides) under endosymbiont of Sipalinus gigas. RNAcentral describes it as "Bacterial RNase P class A". It matches the Rfam family "Bacterial RNase P class A". Rfam says of the family: Ribonuclease P (RNase P) is a ubiquitous endoribonuclease, found in archaea, bacteria and eukarya as well as chloroplasts and mitochondria. Lineage: Bacteria; Pseudomonadati; Pseudomonadota; Gammaproteobacteria. The record is from Rfam by way of RNAcentral.
AAAGUUAAUUAGAUAAUCGCUAUUUAUUUAUUUUAAGUAGAGGAAAGUCCGGGCUCCAGAGUUCAAUGGCGCCAGAUAAUAACUGGAAGAUGUGAAUCUAUGAAAAGUGCAACAAGAAAUAUACCGCUUUUUUUUUUAAAAGUAAGGGUGAAAUUUGAUAAAGUAAGAUUUUAUCAUAAAAUUUGGUAACAAAUUUUAUAUGUAAACUCCGCCUGGAGAAAGGCUAAAAUAAAGGAUAGAACUCAUUUUUUUCCUUAAGGUAAGCUGAUUGAGCUAAUAUAUGAAUAUUAGCCUAGAUAAAUGAUUAUCCUAGACAGAAUCCGGCUUAUAUAUUAACUUAAAUU